GACGAACGCUGGCGGCGUGCUUAACACAUGCAAGUCGAACGGAAAGGCCCUGCUUUUGUGGGGUGCUCGAGUGGCGAACGGGUGAGUAACACGUGAGUAACCUGCCCUUGACUUUGGGAUAACUUCAGGGAACUGGGGCUAAUACCGGAUAGGAGCUCCUGCUGCAUGGUGGGGGUUGGAAAGUUUCGGCGGUUGGGGAUGGACUCGCGGCUUAUCAGCUUGUUGGUGGGGUAGUGGCUUACCAAGGCUUUGACGGGUAGCCGGCCUGAGAGGGUGACCGGCCACAUUGGGACUGAGAUACGGCCCAGACUCCUACGGGAGGCAGCAGUGGGGAAUAUUGCACAAUGGGCGGAAGCCUGAUGCAGCAACGCCGCGUGCGGGAUGACGGCCUUCGGGUUGUAAACCGCUUUCGCCUGUGACGAAGCGUGAGUGACGGUAAUGGGUAAAGAAGCACCGGCUAACUACGUGCCAGCAGCCGCGGUGAUACGUAGGGUGCGAGCGUUGUCCGGAUUUAUUGGGCGUAAAGGGCUCGUAGGUGGUUGAUCGCGUCGGAAGUGUAAUCUUGGGGCUUAACCCUGAGCGUGCUUUCGAUACGGGUUGACUUGAGGAAGGUAGGGGAGAAUGGAAUUCCUGGUGGAGCGGUGGAAUGCGCAGAUAUCAGGAGGAACACCAGUGGCGAAGGCGGUUCUCUGGGCCUUUCCUGACGCUGAGGAGCGAAAGCGUGGGGAGCGAACAGGCUUAGAUACCCUGGUAGUCCACGCUGUAAACGGUGGGUACUAGGUGUGGGGUCCAUUCCACGGGUUCCGUGCCGUAGCUAACGCUUUAAGUACCCCGCCUGGGGAGUACGGCCGCAAGGCUAAAACUCAAAGGAAUUGACGGGGCCCCGCACAAGCGGCGGAGCAUGCGGAUUAAUUCGAUGCAACGCGUAGAACCUUACCUGGGUUUGACAUGGAUCGGGAGUGCUCAGAGAUGGGUGUGCCUCUUUUGGGGUCGGUUCACAGGUGGUGCAUGGCUGUCGUCAGCUCGUGUCGUGAGAUGUUGGGUUAAGUCCCGCAACGAGCGCAACCCUUGUUCACUGUUGCCAGCACGUUAUGGUGGGGACUCAGUGGAGACCGCCGGGGUCAACUCGGAGGAAGGUGGGGAUGACGUCAAGUCAUCAUGCCCCUUAUGUCCAGGGCUUCACGCAUGCUACAAUGGCUGGUACAGAGAGUGGCGAGCCUGUGAGGGUGAGCGAAUCUCGGAAAGCCGGUCUCAGUUCGGAUUGGGGUCUGCUACUCGACCUCAUGAAGUCGGAGUCGCUAGUAAUCGCAGAUCAGCAACGCUGCGGUGAAUACGUUCCCGGGGCU
Molecule: ribosomal RNA, 1346 nt
Filed under: uncultured bacterium
Lineage: Bacteria
Description: partial 16S ribosomal RNA
Rfam family: Bacterial small subunit ribosomal RNA
Source: RNAcentral